This 216-nucleotide long non-coding RNA is filed under the name Trifolium pratense (red clover). RNAcentral describes it as "long non-coding RNA (TPRA_LNC013947)". Lineage: Eukaryota; Viridiplantae; Streptophyta; Magnoliopsida; Fabales; Fabaceae. The record is from RNAcentral.
AAUGGAAGCUGAGUUCGUAUUUUGUUUGAGACUACAUCACAUGGUGUAUGAAUGAAGAGUUUCAAUUAUGGGUUGAAAAUUGUAGAUUCAAUCUUUGACCACUAAAGAUGUAUUGUGACAAUUCAGUUGCGGUUUUAUGGCUAAGAAUCUCAAAAGUGAAAGUCGAAUUAAGUAUAUUGACAUUAAGUACUUAGCCGUAUAAGUCGAAUUAAAUAU